AUACUUACCUGGACGGGGUCGAUGGGUGAUCAAAAAGUCCCAUGGCCUAGGUUGACAACCUCCAUUGCACUAGGGAGGGGUGCCUGUACCUCAUUUCUUCCCUAGUGGGAGAAUGUACGUCAUAAUUUGUAGUAGUGGGGGUAUGCGUUUGCGCGGCCUCUG
RNAcentral lists this small nuclear RNA (162 nucleotides) under Nelumbo nucifera (sacred lotus). Its description in RNAcentral is "U1 spliceosomal RNA". It matches the Rfam family "U1 spliceosomal RNA". From Rfam's summary of the family: U1 is a small nuclear RNA (snRNA) component of the spliceosome (involved in pre-mRNA splicing). Its 5' end forms complementary base pairs with the 5' splice junction, thus defining the 5' donor site of an intron. There are significant differences in sequence and secondary structure between metazoan and yeast U1 snRNAs, the latter being much longer (568 nucleotides as compared to 164 nucleotides in human). Lineage: Eukaryota; Viridiplantae; Streptophyta; Magnoliopsida; Proteales; Nelumbonaceae. The record is from Rfam by way of RNAcentral.